Molecule: microRNA precursor, 169 nt
Organism: Oryza sativa Japonica Group (Japanese rice)
Lineage: Eukaryota; Viridiplantae; Streptophyta; Magnoliopsida; Poales; Poaceae
Rfam family: MIR807 microRNA precursor family
Source: Rfam
AACCACACUAUCGAUAAAUGGAUUCACCUGCGAGAUGACGUGGCUGUUUCACCUACGACGAGGACAUGACAUCCUAUUACCAGCCAUCGCACGAAAAAUUAAUAGUAUACCACGUCGAUGGAACAACCAUGUCAUAUCACCGGUGAAUCCAUUCAUCGAUAGUGUGGUU